UUGUACUUGGAUAUGCUGUUUUUCAGCAUUAGGUCUGCAUCAGAGCAAACUCCAGUGGAUAACUAAGAUCCAGACUGCCCAUUAAUCCAAGAAGGAAGGAUCAGCGAAUGGGAAUAUGAGGCCGCUAUCUUAAAACACGUUCAGAAUCCUCACCUCCAGUGCAUUUACAUUUCUUUCCAGUGUUAACAGUUUGAUAAUAAAGAGUACAUCACAUGA
This is a long non-coding RNA of Podarcis raffonei (Aeolian wall lizard), 216 nucleotides long. RefSeq lists it as uncharacterized. The transcript has 2 exons. NCBI's taxonomy places the organism in Eukaryota, Metazoa, Chordata, Lepidosauria, Squamata, Lacertidae. The record is from RefSeq and is a predicted model, not a curated record.